This 448-nucleotide ribosomal RNA is filed under the name uncultured bacterium. RNAcentral's name for it is "partial 16S ribosomal RNA". It matches the Rfam family "Bacterial small subunit ribosomal RNA", at positions 329 to 794 of the family's 1533-position model. The record is from RNAcentral.
GGCCAGACUCCUACGGGAGGCAGCAGUGGGGAAUAUUGCACAAUGGGGGGAACCCUGAUGCAGCGACGCCGCGUGGGUGAAGAAGCGCCUCGGCGCGUAAAGCCCUGUCAGCAGGGAAGAAAAUGACGGUACCUGAAGAAGAAGCCCCGGCUAACUACGUGCCAGCAGCCGCGGUAAUACGUAGGGGGCAAGCGUUAUCCGGAUUUACUGGGUGUAAAGGGGGCGCAGACGGCGAUGCAAGCCAGGAGUGAAAGCCCGGGGCCCAACCCCGGGACUGCUCUUGGAACUGCGUGGCUGGAGUGCAGGAGGGGCAGGCGGAAUUCCUGGUGUAGCGGUGAAAUGCGUAGAUAUUAGGAGGAACACCAGUGGCGAAGGCGGCCUGCUGGGCUUUAACUGACGCUGAGGCUCGAAAGCGUGGGUAGCAAACAGGAUUAGAUACCCUGGUACC